GUGCUUGCUUUGGCAGCACAUAUACUAAAAUUUGAACAAUACAGGGUAGAUUAGUAUGGCCCUUAGGCAAGGAUGACACACACAUUAGUAAAGCGUUCCAUAUUUUU
Small nuclear RNA from Perognathus longimembris pacificus (Pacific pocket mouse), 107 nucleotides. The record is from RefSeq and is a predicted model, not a curated record. Lineage: Eukaryota; Metazoa; Chordata; Mammalia; Rodentia; Heteromyidae.